AGUUCAGAUUGCAGGCUGCAACUCGCCUGCAUGAAGUCGGAAUUGCUAGUAAUCGCAGAUCAGCAUGCUGCGGUGAAUACGUUCCCGGGCCUUGUACACACCGCCCGUCACACCAUGGGAGUCGGUAACACCCGUAGUCGGUAGCCUAACCGUAAGGAGGGCGCCGCCGAAGGUGGGAUUGAUGACUGGGGUGAAGUCGUAACAAGGUACC
This 211-nucleotide ribosomal RNA is filed under the name uncultured bacterium. Its description in RNAcentral is "partial 16S ribosomal RNA". It matches the Rfam family "Bacterial small subunit ribosomal RNA", at positions 1290 to 1500 of the family's 1533-position model. The record is from RNAcentral.